UGGGGAAUUUUGGACAAUGGGGGCAACCCUGAUCCAGCCAUCCCGCGUGUGCGAUGAAGGCCUUCGGGUUGUAAAGCACUUUUGGCAGGAAAGAAACGGCUCUGGCUAAUACCUGGGGCAACUGACGGUACCUGCAGAAUAAGCACCGGCUAACUACGUGCCAGCAGCCGCGGUAAUACGUAGGGUGCAAGCGUUAAUCGGAAUUACUGGGCGUAAAGCGUGCGCAGGCGGUUCGGAAAGAAAGAUGUGAAAUCCCAGGGCUUAACCUUGGAACUGCAUUUUUAACUACCGGGCUAGAGUGUGUCAGAGGGAGGUGGAAUUCCGCGUGUAGCAGUGAAAUGCGUAGAGAUGCGGAGGAACACCGAUGGCGAAGGCAGCCUCCUGGGAUAACACUGACGCUCAUGCACGAAAGCGUGGGGAGCAAACA
RNAcentral lists this ribosomal RNA (427 nucleotides) under uncultured Bordetella sp. RNAcentral describes it as "bacterial SSU rRNA". It matches the Rfam family "Bacterial small subunit ribosomal RNA", at positions 355 to 774 of the family's 1533-position model. The record is from RNAcentral. Lineage: Bacteria; Pseudomonadati; Pseudomonadota; Betaproteobacteria; Burkholderiales; Alcaligenaceae.